UGCAAGUCGAGCGGUAGCACAGAGAGCUUGCUCUCGGGUGACGAGCGGCGGACGGGUGAGUAAUGUCUGGGAAACUGCCUGAUGGAGGGGGAUAACUACUGGAAACGGUAGCUAAUACCGCAUACGAUCUAAGGAUGAAAGUGGGGGAUCGCAAGACCUCAUGCUCCCGGAGCGGCCGAUAUCUGAUUAGCUAGUUGGUAGGGUAAAAGCCUACCAAGGCAUCGAUCAGUAGCUGGUCUGAGAGGACGACCAGCCACACUGGAACUGAGACACGGUCCAGACUCCUACGGGAGGCAGCAGUGGGGAAUUUUGGACAAUGGGCGCAAGCCUGAUCCAGCAAUGCCGCGUGAGUGAAGAAGGCCUUCGGGUUGUAAAGCUCUUUUGUCAGGGAAGAAAAGGGUGCGGCUAAUAUCUGCGCCUCAUGACGGUACCUGAAGAAUAAGCACCGGCUAACUACGUGCCAGCAGCCGCGGUAAUACGUAGGGUGCAAGCGUUAAUCGGAAUUACUGGGCGUAAAGCGUGCGCAGGCGGUUUUGUAAGACUGUCGUGAAAUCCCCGGGCUCAACCUGGGAAUGGCGAUGGUGACUGCAAGGCUAGAGUUUGGCAGAGGGGGGUAGAAUUCCACGUGUAGCAGUGAAAUGCGUAGAUAUGUGGAGGAACACCGAUGGCGAAGGCAGCCCCCCUGGGUCAAAACUGACGCUCAUGCACGAAAGCGUGGGGAGCAAACAGGAUUAGAUACCCUGGUAGUCCACGCCCUAAACGAUGUCUACUAGUUGUCGGGUCUUAAUUGACUUGGUAACGCAGCUAACGCGUGAAGU
Molecule: ribosomal RNA, 818 nt
Filed under: uncultured bacterium
Lineage: Bacteria
Description: bacterial SSU rRNA
Rfam family: Bacterial small subunit ribosomal RNA
Source: RNAcentral